RNAcentral lists this ribosomal RNA (824 nucleotides) under Listeria monocytogenes. RNAcentral's name for it is "partial 23S ribosomal RNA". It matches the Rfam family "Bacterial large subunit ribosomal RNA", at positions 1397 to 2217 of the family's 2925-position model. The record is from RNAcentral. Lineage: Bacteria; Bacillati; Bacillota; Bacilli; Caryophanales; Listeriaceae.
CGAGGCCGAUAGGCGUAGGCGAUGGACAACAGGUAGAGAUUCCUGUACCAGUGCUAAUUGUUUAACCGAUGGGGUGACACAGAAGGAUAGGGAAUCGCACGAAUGGAAAUGUGCGUCCAAGCAGUGAGUGUGAGAAGUAGGCAAAUCCGCUUCUCGCGAAGCAUGAGCUGUGAUGGGGAAGGAAAUUAAGUACGGAAGUUCCUGAUUUCACGCUGUCAAGAAAAGCCUCUAGGAAGAGUAGUACUGCCCGUACCGCAAACCGACACAGGUAGAUGAGGAGAGAAUCCUAAGGUGAGCGAGAGAACUCUCGUUAAGGAACUCGGCAAAAUGACCCCGUAACUUCGGGAGAAGGGGUGCUCUAUUAGGGUGCAAGCCCGAGAGAGCCGCAGUGAAUAGGCCCAGGCGACUGUUUAGCAAAAACACAGGUCUCUGCAAAACCGUAAGGUGACGUAUAGGGGCUGACGCCUGCCCGGUGCUGGAAGGUUAAGAGGAGUGCUUAGCUUCGGCGAAGGUACGAAUUGAAGCCCCAGUAAACGGCGGCCGUAACUAUAACGGUCCUAAGGUAGCGAAAUUCCUUGUCGGGUAAGUUCCGACCCGCACGAAAGGCGCAACGAUCUGGGCACUGUCUCAACGAGAGACUCGGUGAAAUUAUAGUACCUGUGAAGAUGCAGGUUACCCGCGACAGGACGGAAAGACCCCGUGGAGCUUUACUGCAACCUGAUAUGGAAUGUUUGUACCGCUUGUACAGGAUAGGUAGGAGCCGAAGAGACGUGUGCGCUAGCAUACGAGGAGGCAAUGGUGGGAUACUACCCUGGCUGUAUGAC